ACGUAGAAUCUCCACAUCCCUUCCCCCAUGCCUUGCCCUAUGUGUCUCUUCAUCUGUAUGCUUUGUAAUAUACUUUAUAAUAAACUGGUAAUCUCAAGUGUUUCCCUGAACUGCUUCAGCAAAGUAAUCAAACCAGAGGGGGUCGCGGAACCCCGACUUGAAGCCAGUAGGUCAGAAGUUCCAGAGGCUCAGAUUUGCAGCAAGGAGUAUCUGCCACAAGGGUGUGUUGGUGCCGGCAGUCUUGGGGACUGAGCCCUCAGCCUAUGGGAUCUAAUGCUAUCUCCAGCCAACCAUGUUCCCCAGGCUACCCUGGGAGGUAUAGGAAAAGGAACACACAGGGUCCACCAGAUAUGGGAGAAAGAACUAUGGGAGGUGGACGCAGCUCCUUCACAAGGUGAAGAGGAUGAGAAAGGCCACCAUCAGGCAGAAGAGCUCCAAGGCCUCCCAGAAGGCAAAGCCCAGAAGGGUGUAGGAGAACAGCUGCUGCUUCAGAGAAGUGCUCCUGGCAUAACCAAUGAUGAGUCUCUCAAACACAGUCCCAGCCCCAGAGCCGGCCACUCCAACUACAGCAGCCCCAGCCCCAGCCCCAAUGAACUUGGCUGCUGUGUUGAUGUCCCUUGAAAUGGUGCUGGUUUGGAAGCUGUGGCUAAGGACAAGUGAGGUAAGGGGACAUGAGACUGCCAAGCUGCUGAGACUCUCAUCUGUCAGUGUCUCUGGUUGUUUCAGCACCACUGAGGAUAGUGGACAACUCAUCAGCUGUGAGGCACUCUUGACCAAGGAGGGAGUGGAGGCAAACUUGGAGCAAGCAUAGAUUUUCAGCGGGUGAGGGGCUGUGGCAGAGAGCUGCUCUGGGUGCAGAGAAAACCGGAAGACUCUCCUGUUUCACAUACGUUGGAGGGUCAGGAGGAGGGAACGAUUUGGAAGACAUAAAAUUGGAUGGUGUAUAUUGACCCUCUUUAAGAGGCAGAUAUCUGCUGUCAGCACAUCUUGAUAUACAUUCCCUGUCCACUCAUUAUCCAGGAUAGCACCUUUAUGUCUUCUAACACCCUGUAUUUCCUUAUCUAUGAAACAGGGAUAUUUAGUGAUAACCUGCAUUUCCUUUGUAGGAUAACCUACAUUUCCUUAGAACAUUCCUAGUAAUAUAACUGAUUUUUUCUCACUCCCCUAUUUACCAUGUAGACCUAAUCUAUUGAAGCCAUAUACUAAAGAAGACCCUUAUGGUGCUAAGGAGUACAUCUUGGGGCCAAGAAAUCAAAAGCCUCCACCCUAGUGUGUAUUUUCAAGUGCUGGCUGGCCAGUUUCUAUCAAGGAUCCACUAAACCACUAAUGAAAGCCUCAAAAAUAAACAUAAUGCAAAACAAACACUUGGAGAGAAAGGUUAAGUUAAUUUUUAAGUACUUUCCUAGCAUUUUUUCCUGCUAAUGCCCAAGUACUCCUCAAAGGAUGUGUUUUUAUGUUGAUAAGGGAGAGUGGAGGCUACGAAAAGGAAAUAGGACUAAAAGAUGAGAACAAGGGUGAAGCAUGGACUGGUCUAUGAGCUGGGAUUCAAACGGCACAUUUCCCACUUCCAGAAUUGUGGUGAACACCAUGAGGUC
Molecule: long non-coding RNA, 1595 nt
Organism: Callithrix jacchus (white-tufted-ear marmoset)
Lineage: Eukaryota; Metazoa; Chordata; Mammalia; Primates; Cebidae
Source: Ensembl